Molecule: long non-coding RNA, 470 nt
Filed under: Trifolium pratense (red clover)
Lineage: Eukaryota; Viridiplantae; Streptophyta; Magnoliopsida; Fabales; Fabaceae
Description: long non-coding RNA (TPRA_LNC012732)
Source: RNAcentral
AUGAAUCAGAUCAUCCAUAGGUAGAUUAUGUGAAGGUUAGGAGGAAAGAGAUUAAUUAGAGGAUAAAGUUUCUUUUGUAACUUUUGGAAAAUUGAACAGAAGUAAAUAAUAGGGAGAUGCAUGUUAAGAGUCUCUUGGACGAGAUAUAUCCUAAAAGUGUGUCUAUAAGUGGUGGGUAAUCAUCACCUAAUAAAUUGGUUUUGUAGAGGUUGAGUUAGGCACAACCCAAAUUUUAAAAUGAUAUCAAAGUCUAUCCAAGAUCCAUCAGACCACCAGGUUACCGCUAUCGGUCAGGCACACUCCAGAUGUUCAGUUCUGGGCGUGAAGGAUGUGUGUUAAGAAUCUCACAUUAGUCGAAAUAGGACUCAAAAAUGUGUUUAUAAAUGGUGGUUAGUCGCCACCUUACAAACCAAUUUUAUAGGAGUUGAGUUGGACUUGAGAGAAAUUUUAAAAUGCAUGAUUGAAUCAAC